Abrus precatorius (Indian licorice) is the source of this 3508-nucleotide RNA transcript. It is a transcript of the gene named ATP-dependent Clp protease proteolytic subunit-related protein 3, chloroplastic, with no coding region annotated. Lineage: Eukaryota; Viridiplantae; Streptophyta; Magnoliopsida; Fabales; Fabaceae. The record is from RefSeq and is a predicted model, not a curated record. The transcript is spliced from 13 exons.
AGAAGCACAGAGACCCUCACCCUUUUGAGUCAUUUCAUUUGGCUCAUUCGUAUCUCCGGCUUCUGGUUGAAACCUAGUUGAAGUGUUGCCCGCAACAUGAUUGGCCAAACCAUGAUGGUUGCAAAUUUACGGGUACCCAUGCCCAUACCCAUGCCCAUGGCCACGGCCAUGCCCACAAGGCGAUGCAGAAAUCUGAGAACAUCAUGCUCCGCUUUUGGCGCCACAAACAAAGCGAAAAAUCCCAUACCCCCUUUCAACCCUAAAGACCCCUUUCUCUCUAAGCUCGCUUCCGUCGCUGCUUCUUCCCCUGAAACGUUCAUUAACCCUCCCAUUAACUCCGAUAACCCUCCUUAUUUGGACAUUUUCGACUCUCCUCAGCUCAUGGCCACUCCCGCUCAAGUGGAAAGGUCUGCUUCAUAUGAUGAACACCGGCCCACGACACCGCCACCCGACCUGCCUUCGCUGCUUCUCAAUGGUAGAAUUGUUUAUAUUGGCAUGCCUUUGGUGCCAGCUGUCACGGAGCUUGUAGUUGCAGAGUUGAUGUACCUGCAGUAUAUGGAUCCUGUACAACCAAUAUAUAUGUACAUAAAUUCCACUGGGACUACGCGAGAUGAUGGUGAAACGGUUGGGAUGGAGACAGAAGGUUUUGCCAUUUAUGAUUCAAUGAUGCAGUUGAAAAAUGAGAUACACACAGUGGCUGUUGGAGCUGCUAUAGGUCAAGCCUGUUUGCUACUUUCAGCAGGGACCAAGGGUAAACGGUUUAUGAUGCCACAUGCCAAAGCCAUGAUUCAGCAGCCUCGUAUUCCAUCAUCUGGGUUGAUGCCUGCAAGUGAUGUUCUUAUUCGUGCAAAGGAGGCAAUAGUUAACAGGGACACACUGGUUGAACUGCUGGCCAAACACACGGGAAAUUCACAGGAAACAGUGGCUAAUGUGAUGAAGAGACCAUAUUAUAUGGAUGCGCAAAAGGCUAAGGAGUUUGGGGUCAUUGACAAAAUUCUGUGGCGUGGCCAGGAGAAGGUUAUGGCUGAUGUUAUUCCUGCAGAGGAGUGGGACAGGAGAGCUGGUAUUAGAGCUGCAGAUGAAUUUUAGCUUGUCUUUUGUGCAUACACAUCUUGUCAAUAACCUUGUUAUUUUAAAAUGAAGUCCCGGAUUCUUGGAGAAGGCAUCUUGGGUCAAAUUCUCUACAAUUUUUGACUAAAACGCGACUUCUGGCAAGGCGACCAUGUUAGGUCCAUCAUUCAAGUAGAGACGAAAUAUGCAUGCAACGGCAACAAUGGCCGUCCUUUGACAUCAAUGGUAACGCCAAAAGCAUAGUAUUAUUUGUGUGGCGGUGCUGUUGGAGUGUUACUGGGUUACAAUGUCAAUGAGAUGUACCUCAGCCUCUAUACGAUUCGCACUAUUCCUCUCAUUUUCUCUCACGGCCUCAUCAUCUUUACCACCACUGCCAUUCUUUUCCAAGCGUGACGCUCCAUCCAUCCCCGAACCCAAAGCCACUCCCUCUGACUUAUUAUCUCUGUUGGGAUCCAAAUCUAACUCCUCAGCAGUCAAUCCCGUGGCAGCACGCCAACUCAAAUCAUGCUUCAGAUUCCUUGUUCCUUUCACUCCACUCGACCCUCCCCGCCACCGCAAAUUGGGCCCCACCGAACCAACCGGCCCAACUCAGAGUCACGAGAACGAGCUUAUUUGGUGGCCGCCUGGGCCGGUUUUGGAGCUGGCCCGCCUCGCCGUAGAUUCCGGUGGGGACCCCGCUGCUAUUCAUCGCGCUCUUGACCCAACCGUUAUCCCAGUCAGUUUCUUUUGCUCUUCUCCUUUGUUACCAUUGCAUUUCCUAUCAUAUGACGGGGUGAUUUUUCGAUAACACAGGUGCCUGAUGUUGAAGGAUCAAAGGAAGAUCGAUGUGAACUCACCAGAACCCCUUAUGGCAGACGCUUCAUUUGUGAGGAGCUGAAUCUGUAUCUACAGUUUUUGUUUGAACUCAUUGUUGAUCGAGGUCCAUCUGUUGGGUUGAAUGUUGCCUUGAGCCGGUUUGAUCUGUUCCAUGGUCACCUCUUUCUAGCCACAGGCUCUGGAAGACUCGGUAUCUUAUUCCAUGCAAAGGAAUACCCAGCAUAUGAUAAACAAGUGUUCCCAUUCAAUAUGGGAUUUUGUCAGAGAGGAUCCAAUGUGACAUAUGAUGAUUCAAUGAACCUGCGAAAUAUUCUUUGGCUGGCUCCACUGCCUGGCGAUUCUGCUGAAUCUUGGGUGGCACCAGGUACCUUCACUAAAGUUACUGCAUCUGUGUAUAGUUUGAAGGCUUUCUAUGUGGUACAUACUCUUAAAUUUCACGCUAAUUUUUAUGAUAAAUAAUUGUGUCAAUCUAUCGCUCAUGCAAAGUCAUCAAAUGGUGGUGUAACAAAUUUUGGAUUAUUAUGGUUUCUGACAUUUCGUAAUCCUUAAAGUGAUACCUUAGGUACACAAGCCUGAAGAAUGGCAGCAAUCAAUGUUCCAAAGUUGAUUAGUACUUUUUGCUUUUGAAGUUAUUAGAUAUUGUGGUACUUGAUAAUUUGGAAUAUAUAUUUUAAGGAUCCUAUUUUGAAGUGUAAAGGAAAAAUGGGAAUCUUUGUCGAAUGUCCUCUUUACCGCAUUGUGUAGUCUGUACUCUUUUGUGGUUACUUUCAGAGAGUUCACAUCAGUCUAUCUGCAUUGCACACGAGAUUCCAAGAGCCCUUAACUUUUUCAUAUAUAACUGAUACCUAUAUAACAACUCCAGUCAUUGGAAGCACACGUUAAAAAUAAAUGUUAAGUCUAUAACUGUUCUUGUUUGGCUCUGUCACAAACCGAUUAUCCCAAAAGCCAUUAGGUGAAAGCUCAUGAAUAUUUUUUUGUUACAUCUUUAACAUGCCCCUUCAUGCAGGAGCUUUUUGGGCAUGAAGCACAUUUUCACUUACCUUAUGCUGAAAUUCAACUGUUAUUUAGAAUAAUGAGAGCGACAAGGAUCCAACUCCUGACCACUUGGUCAAGGAGGCUCUAAUGCUAUGUCAAGAAUCAACUAUCGCAAAAGCUUAAAUUGUUAGGUGAAUGCUCAUGAAUAAUUUUGUGACAUCACUUACAGGUUCUAGAUAUAUUGAGGGAAAAUGAUGCAAAAUUUAGAUUACUUGACCUUUAAACUUGUAGAAACUAAAACUCAUGCAGGCUUUCAGUGACUACUUGAGCUGGCUACGUAGAUGCCUGAAGAAAUAAAACAACAUCAUUACUUUUUACUUUUUACAUGUGAAGGUUUAUGUCUAUACUUCUGUUUAACUUGGGCUUUAAAGAUGUCUUUACUUUUCUGUUCAUAUCCAUUGAUAUGAAUUAUUUCCUGUUUCUUGUCGUGCUAGAUGGCUGUUUAUUGGUUGUCAUAAAAAUAUUCAGUCUUCUGUUCAACAAUUUUUUCUUUUAUCUUUGUUUUAUUUGAACUUAAACUGGAUGUUGGGUAACCAACUUUUCAAGACUCGGGAUAAUUAAUCUAAAGCUUAAAAAUAUCAUUUGC